This 2149-nucleotide ribosomal RNA is filed under the name human gut metagenome. RNAcentral describes it as "bacterial LSU rRNA". It matches the Rfam family "Bacterial large subunit ribosomal RNA", at positions 1 to 2003 of the family's 2925-position model. The record is from RNAcentral.
UGCCGCUUGCGAGGGCGUAUGGUGGAUGCCUUGGCAGACAGUACCGAUGAAGGACGUUUGAGGAUGCGAUAAUCCUAGGGGAGCCUCCAACAUGGCUUUGAUCCUAGGGUCUCCGAAUGGGGGAACCCGCCGGCCGUCAUGGGCCGGCACCGCCUAUGGGCGGGGGGUACGCAGGGAAGUGAAACAUCUCAGUACCUGCAGGAAGGGAUACUCCGUGAGUAGUGGCGAGCGAAAGCGGAUCAGACCAAACCGGUUGCGCGUGAUACCCGUCGGGGGUUGCGUUGCCGGUGUUGUGGGAUCACGUGUCCCGGUUCCGACGGGCCGGGCGGGAGUCAUAAAACGGCUUGCCAGGGGAACAGGCUUGAAGGCCUGGCCGUAGAGGGUGCCAGCCCCGUACCUGGACGUGAGCCGUCUUCCGAUCGUGUUGUCCCAAGUAGCGCGGGCCUCGUGGAAUCCCGCGUGAAUCAGCCCAGACCGUUGGGUAAGUCUAAGCAUACCUGUCUGACCGAUAGCGUACCAGUACCGUGAGGGAAAGGUGAAAAGCACCCCGGGAGGGGAGUGAAACAGUUCCUGAAACCGUGCGCCCACAAACCGUCGGAGCCUCUGCGUGGGGUGACGGCGUGCCUAUCGAAAAAUGAGUCUGCGAGUCAGUGGCGGGUGGCGAGCAUAAGCCGUGUGGCGUAUGCGUAGCGAAAGCGAGUCUUAAAAGGCGUUUUUUAGUCGCUUGUCCUGGACCCGAAGCGGGAUGAUCUAGCCCUGGGCAGGUUGAAGCGCGGGUAAGACCGCGUGGAGGACCGAACCCACCUGGGUUGAAAACCGGGGGGAUGACCUGGGGCUAGGGGUGAAAGGCCAAUCAAAUUCCGUGAUAGCUGGUUCUCUCCGAAAUGCAUUUAGGUGCAGCGUCGGUUGAUUGCGUCGCGGGGGUAGAGCUACCGGAUGCUUGCGGGCCCUUGUUGGGUACCAACAGCAGCCGAACUCCGAAUACCGUUGACGUGUAUUCCGGCAGUGAGUCGGCGGGGGAUAAGCUCCGUCGUCGAGAGGGAGACAGCCCAGACCGUCGUCUAAGGUCCCGAAGCGUGUGCUAAGUGGGAAAGGAUGUGGAGUCGCAUAGACAGCCAGGAGGUUGGCUCAGAAGCAGCCAUCCUUGAAAGAGUGCGUAACAGCUCACUGGUCUAGUGGUUCCGCGCCGACAAUGUAGCGGGGCUCAAGCACACCACCGAAGACGCGGCAGCAAUCUUCAUGGUUGCUGGGUAGGAGAGCGUCCUGCGAGGGGCGAAGCGGCCGGGUGACCGUGCCGUGGACUUCGUGGGAGUGAGAAUGCAGACAUGAGUAGCGAGAGACGGGUGAGGAUCCCGUCCGCUGGAUGACCAAGGGUUCCGGGGCCACGUUCGUCGUCCCCGGGUGAGUCGGGUCCUAAGGCGAGGCCGACAGGCGUAGUCGAAUGGAUGAACGGGUGGAUAUUCCCGUACCGACCAUGGACCGGCAAAACCGAGACGGUGAGUACUAACCUCCGCCUCGUGGUGGUUCCUUCCUUCGGGUUGGUUCCGUCGCGUGGUGUUGGGAGCGUAGCCGCAGUAGGUCAGCGCAGGGGUGACACGGAAUGGGAGCCGGCCGCGGAGGUGGUUUUCCGUGGUCAAGCACGCAGCCAGUCAUGUAGGCAAAUCCGCAUGGCGUGCAUGGCGAGGUGUGAUGAUGGGAGCCGUUAUGGUUCGAUAUCCGGUUGUCCAGGCCGUCGAGAAAAGCCUCGGCGUGAGGGCCAUGGCCGCCCGUACCCCAAACCGACACUGGUGGUCAGGUAGAGAAUACCAAGGCGAUCGAGCGAAUCCUGGUCAAGGAACUCGGCAAAUCACUCCCGUGCCUUCGGUAUAAGGGAGACCCACUGGGGUGAAGGACCUUGCGUCCGGAGCUUUGGUGGGUGGCACAGACCAGGGGGUAGCGACUGUUUACCAAAAACACAGGUGCAUGCGAAGGCGAAAGCCGCUGUAUAUGCACUGACGCCUGCCCGGUGCCGGAAGGUUAAGAGGAUCCGUCAAUCCCUUCGGGGACGAAGCGGUGAAUUCAAGCCCCGGUAAACGGCGGUGGUAACUAUAACCAUCCUAAGGUAGCGAAAUUCCUUGUCGGGUAAGUUCCGACCUGCACGAAUGGCGUA